This 252-nucleotide ribosomal RNA is filed under the name uncultured Bacteroidales bacterium. Its description in RNAcentral is "partial 16S ribosomal RNA". It matches the Rfam family "Bacterial small subunit ribosomal RNA", at positions 524 to 776 of the family's 1533-position model. The record is from RNAcentral. Lineage: Bacteria; Pseudomonadati; Bacteroidota; Bacteroidia; Bacteroidales.
UACGGAGGAUGCGAGCGUUAUCCGGAUUUAUUGGGUUUAAAGGGUGCGCAGGCGGAGGUGCAAGUCAGUGGUCAAAUUGCGGGGCUCAACCCCGGCCCGCCGUUGAAACUGGCUGGCUUGAGUUGGGGAAAGGCAGGCGGAAUGCGCGGUGUAGCGGUGAAAUGCAUAGAUAUCGCGCAGAACUCCGAUUGCGAAGGCAGCAUACCGGCGCCCAACUGACGCUGAAGCACGAAAGCGUGGGUAUCGAACAGG